CCAGUCGGGUUGGAGUUUAUUUCUGCCAGAGCCUGGAGGCUGGGAGGGUAAAGGACACUCCUUUAGUCCCAGAGGGAAGCUCCGAACCCUCAGCAACCAGAAGGGAGGGCAGAGCAUGGGCAGCAGCAGGAGUGAGAGGGGUCCCCUUGUCCUGCCCCUUUGCAAGGGUUCAAGGCUGGUGGAGGCCUGGGGCUUCUGUCGCUCAGGAGUUCGGGGGUGGACACAGAAAUGGGGGAAGGAGAGUGGCUACGUAGAGAGAGAGUGAGAGCGAGAUCCCUAAAAAGAUGCACAGAGGGACCCUCAGAGACGCCAAGACGGUGAGAGGGUAGGGAAGGAGAGGGACGGAGAGAGAGAGAGAAGCAGACGGAAUGGGCUGCACUGGCUGAGGACGGUGGAGGAGCCGUCUCACUCCCUUCCUAAUGUCUAGAGAUCAAUAACAAGGGAAGAAAGGAGGACAGGGAGCUGAUGGGAACACAGCUUGCCAACUGUACCCAGUCCCCCCACAAGC
This 508-nucleotide non-coding RNA is filed under the name Pongo abelii (Sumatran orangutan). The record is from RNAcentral. Lineage: Eukaryota; Metazoa; Chordata; Mammalia; Primates; Hominidae.